RNAcentral lists this ribosomal RNA (674 nucleotides) under Salmonella enterica subsp. enterica serovar Muenchen. Its description in RNAcentral is "partial 23S ribosomal RNA". It matches the Rfam family "Bacterial large subunit ribosomal RNA", at positions 2260 to 2925 of the family's 2925-position model. Lineage: Bacteria; Pseudomonadati; Pseudomonadota; Gammaproteobacteria; Enterobacterales; Enterobacteriaceae. The record is from RNAcentral.
GGUGGGUAGUUUGACUGGGGCGGUCUCCUCCUAAAGAGUAACGGAGGAGCACGAAGGUUGGCUAAUCCUGGUCGGACAUCAGGAGGUUAGUGCAAUGGCAUAAGCCAGCUUGACUGCGAGCGUGACGGCGCGAGCAGGUGCGAAAGCAGGUCAUAGUGAUCCGGUGGUUCUGAAUGGAAGGGCCAUCGCUCAACGGAUAAAAGGUACUCCGGGGAUAACAGGCUGAUACCGCCCAAGAGUUCAUAUCGACGGCGGUGUUUGGCACCUCGAUGUCGGCUCAUCACAUCCUGGGGCUGAAGUAGGUCCCAAGGGUAUGGCUGUUCGCCAUUUAAAGUGGUACGCGAGCUGGGUUUAGAACGUCGUGAGACAGUUCGGUCCCUAUCUGCCGUGGGCGCUGGAGAACUGAGGGGGGCUGCUCCUAGUACGAGAGGACCGGAGUGGACGCAUCACUGGUGUUCGGGUUGUCAUGCCAAUGGCACUGCCCGGUAGCUAAAUGCGGAAGAGAUAAGUGCUGAAAGCAUCUAAGCACGAAACUUGCCCCGAGAUGAGUUCUCCCUGAGACUUUAGGUCUCCUGAAGGAACGUUGAAGACGACGACGUUGAUAGGCCGGGUGUGUAAGCGCAGCGAUGCGUUGAGCUAACCGGUACUAAUGAACCGUGAGGCUUAACCUUACA